RNAcentral lists this ribosomal RNA (668 nucleotides) under Radotanypus florens. RNAcentral's name for it is "partial 28S ribosomal RNA". Lineage: Eukaryota; Metazoa; Arthropoda; Insecta; Diptera; Chironomidae. The record is from RNAcentral.
UGUCUAGGGGUUCAAACCUAAAGAACCUAAAUAUCUAARCGAAGAGAUUCAAUACUGCUUCUCCAAAAGAGCGAGCAGUGUGCACUUCUCUUUUAGUAAGACGUUGUGAUCCAUUAGGAAUUGAUUGAUAUAUUAAGUCAAUCAUUGGGCUACCAAUUAKUCUGACAUUGAAGUUCAUAAUGACAAAUAAUACAAUCAAUAUAUGGUUGUGUAUAUUGUCUUGUGAGCAUGUCAUCAACUGGUGUAGCUGCCUUAUGGAUUUUAUAGGCCAUAACAUUGAUAUGAAUAUAUUAUUAUCAUCUGAAUGGAUGAAUAAUUGUUAUGUGCCCGAUCAACAACGGAUUCAUUUGGGAUACCUUUGGGACCCGUCUUGAAACACGGACCAAGGAGUCUAUCUAGUAUGCAAGUAAAUGGGGUAAAAAUAUUUAAACCUAUUUGCGUAAAUAACUUGACUGUUUAUAUAUGAGAUUACRAGUUACACAUAUAUUAUUAUGUGUGUGCUCCUCCAUCUCGGGGUAUUUUCACAAUAUAGAAAUAUAGAAAAUAUACCAUGAGCAUACUGGAUAUGACCCGAAAGAUGGUGAACUAUGCCUGAUCAGGUUGAAGUCAGGGGAAACCCUGAUGRAGGACCGAAGCAAUUCUGACGUGCAAAUCGANUGUCAGAAUUG